AUUGAACGCUGGCGGCAGGCCUAACACAUGCAAGUCGAACGAGUGGCGGACGGGUGAGUAAUGUCUGGGAAACUGCCUGAUGGAGGGGGAUAACUACUGGAAACGGUAGCUAAUACCGCAUACCAUCAGAUGUGCCCAGAUGGGAUUAGCUAGUUGGUGGGGUAACGGCUCACCAAGGCGACGAUCCCUAGCUGGUCUGAGAGGAUGACCAGCCACACUGGAACUGAGGCACUGUCCAGACUCCUACGGGAGGCAGCAGUGGGGAAUAGUGCACAAUGGGCACAAUCCUGAUGCAGCCAAGCCGCGUGUAUGAAGAAGGCCUUCGGGUUGUAAAGUACUUUCAGCGGGAAGGCGUUACCCGAAGAAGAAGCACCGGCUAACUCCGUGCCAGCCGCCGCGGUAAUUC
This 406-nucleotide ribosomal RNA is filed under the name uncultured bacterium. RNAcentral's name for it is "partial 16S ribosomal RNA". It matches the Rfam family "Bacterial small subunit ribosomal RNA", at positions 30 to 526 of the family's 1533-position model. The record is from RNAcentral.